RNAcentral lists this ribosomal RNA (460 nucleotides) under uncultured bacterium. RNAcentral describes it as "partial 16S ribosomal RNA". It matches the Rfam family "Bacterial small subunit ribosomal RNA", at positions 338 to 795 of the family's 1533-position model. The record is from RNAcentral.
CCUACGGGAGGCAGCAGUGAGGAAUAUUGGUCAAUGGGCUUACGCCUGAACCAGCCAAGUCGCGUGAGGGAAGACUGCCCUAUGGGUUGUAAACCUCUUUUGUCAGGGAGCAACGCCGGCUACGUGUAGCCGGACUGAGAGUAACUGAAGAAAAAGCAUCGGCUAACUCCGUGCCAGCAGCCGCGGUAAUACGGAGGAUGCGAGCGUUAUCCGGAGUUAUUGGGUUUAAAGGGUGCGUAGGCGGAAUGCCAAGUCAGCGGUAAAAUCGCGGGGCUCAACCUCGCUCCGCAGUUGAAACUGGCGUUCUUGAGUGGGCGAGAAGUAUGCGGAAUGCGUGGUGUAGCGGUGAAAUGCAUAGAUAUCACGAAGAACUCCGAUUGCGAAGGCAGCAUACCGGCGCCCAACUGACGCUGAAGCACGAAAGCGUGGGUAUCGAACAGGAUUAGAUACCCCGGUAGUC